GCCCUUGGGCCAUCGGCGUCGCAGCUUCCGGCACCGACAGAGUUUAUUCAACCUCACUUCUUCUUGGCAAUGGCCAAAAAGUUGGAGGAGUAGGAAUGUCUGGUAUGCCACCAUAUAACAAUAUCCAAUUACUAUCAUUAUGGAGCAAAAAAUUAUAACUAAUUACUAUCAUCUUCCUCAGGACCCAGUUUAGGGAGUGAGUUUUUCCUACAUAAGUUGGUAUUGGCUAAGGAUGCAACGAAGCAAAAUGAAACAAAUUAUAACGACAUACCAAGUUACAUUGAAGAAUGCCAACAUCCUGAAGCUUUUGACCCAAAUAUUGUCCAAAACAGCAUAGUCCUUUGCUCUUUCUCACAAGGAUUCCUGAAUGGAACCUCCUCUCUUGCAGCCAUCAUUCACACUGCAAAACAACUCAAGUUCAUGGGUUUUGUUCUCAUUGCAAAUCCAAACUAUGGUGAUUUCAUUGCAGAGCCUAUCCCUUUCAGAGUUCCAGGCAUUCUCGUCCCCAGCGUAUCAGAUACUCAGGUAUAACUUUACAACAUAUAAACAAAUAAAAAUGGCCAUCUAAAUCAAAAUCUUCAUUUUCCCCCCCCCCCCCCCCCCCUAAUUUUAGUUAGAUUUCAAACAUGUUUUCAAAAAGCUAAGUGGCCAACAACAAAAAAAAAAAAAACAUAAAUGCAUGCCCCAUAAAAUCAAGUUUAUAUUCUUCAAGUUUAUUUAUUUUGUUUUCGACUUCUUUCCAGUUUUUUCAUAAACGAAAACUAAAGAAAAAUUCGUUUGUUAACACUUGUUUUUCUUAUUAGAAUGUGAUUAAAAUUCAAAGGUGAAAACCUUAGAAGCACAAGCACUUCACUUCUACUAGCGUGAGUCAAUCCAUCCAUCUCUGGCUUCUGCCAUACACAAUUAUUGGACAUUUCAAUUCACUUGUUGAAUACAUAUCAAACACAUGUCACAUUAGUGCGACAUAUUAUUAGACAUGCAUAAACAUUAAUGUAGACCAGAAAGGCACGUAUAUCUAAAAUACAUCAAAAUAAGUUUCUGAAGCAUAACUAGAUUUUUAAAAUACGACAUGUUGUGUUAGAUCAUAAUUGUGUCUUGUAUCCGUAUCUGUGCUUCUAAGGUGAAAAUUAAGUCACAAUUUUAUGAAAAACAACCAAAAAAAAAUUAAAAACAAAGUCAUCAUGAAAGAUACCAAAAAUUUUUAAUGAACAGGAGUUGACAAUCUUGGAUUGCAAGCUGAAAAUAUAGGUAAUACUGAAGUACUAUGAAGAAAAUACAUGCAAGGAUGAAAGAGGAAUGGUUAGAGAAUUUAAAGGGAAAGCAGGGAUUGGAGAAGGAAGAAUUGCUUCAUUUGGGAACCAAGCACCCACAGUUAGCAGAUUUUCAUCAAGAGGACCAGAUUACAUAAACAUAAAUAGGAGUUUAGCUGAUGUUCUAAAGCCAGAUAUUCUUGCACCUGGUCACCAAAUUUGGGCUGCUUGGAGCCCUCUCAGUGCCUCAGAACCACUAUUAAAGGGUCAGCUUUUCAUGAACUUAUUGUUCUUUCAGUUUCAUCAAUUUUUCCCUUUUACAUUUGUCAUUCAAUCUAUAUGAAUUUUAAGCAAUUCUUGUUUUGGUCUCUUUAGGUUUUAAAACCCCAGUGCUAAAAAAAAUAUAUUUGUUUUUAGUUUUCUCUGUAUGAAAUUUAUAUGUACUGUUUUUCUCUUAAAUUUUAUAUUAUGGUUCUUACAUUUAUAAAACAAACAAUUGGGUUCUCAGUAAACUUUUACAAUUACAUGACCCUACUUUUUCUUAAUUUCUUGUGAUGUUUAGCAUCUCUCUCAAGUAAUAUCAAGUUGAACUUCCUAGCCAAAUUCUAUAAACAAGAAAAAAUUCUUAAAAAGCUAAUCUUUCUAGUUUUCAGAACUUUAAUUUGAAACCUGGUUUUUGAAAACAACAUAUAGAUAACAAAAAUACAAAAAGCUUAGAGGUGGAAGAAGUGUCUACCUGCAUGCUUUUAAUUCCUAAAAGUUAAAAAUUGAAAACAAAGUUGUCAAAUAAUUUUUUUUUUCUAGUUUUUUAAAUUUUGUUUUGACUUUUACAAAUAUCAAUGAAAAGUGAAUAACAAAACAUAAACAAAGAAACAUAGUGAAACUAGAGUUUAUUAGUUUAAUUUUUUUAAAAAAAAAAUUAGUAAAGAUGAUCUAGAUAAAUUUCACCUUUAUAAGUCCCAAUCAACUCAAGAAAUUAGAAAGUCAUAUUUAUGUCAUAUCAAAAGGGCACAAGAGAAGUUGAUUGAAACAUGAGUGUUGAAUUAUAUAUAUACAGGAUACCAUUUUGCACUGAUGUCUGGAACAAGUAUGGCAGCACCUCAUAUUGUGGGAAUAGCAGCACUUAUCAAGCAAAAAUAUCCUUCUUGGACUCCUUCCAUGAUAGCUUCUGCUAUGUCCACAACUGCUACAAAGUAUGAUAUGAAUGGAGACCUUAUUCAGGCUGAGGGAUUCAACCUUCAUGCUUUAUAUCCUUCUA
This 2508-nucleotide long non-coding RNA is filed under the name Cucumis sativus (cucumber). Its description in RNAcentral is "long non-coding RNA (CSAT_LNC000459)". Lineage: Eukaryota; Viridiplantae; Streptophyta; Magnoliopsida; Cucurbitales; Cucurbitaceae. The record is from RNAcentral.